GCAUUUGAAUUUUUAUUCUACAACACAAGCAACAUAAAUACAAUCUUUUAAAAUAUUUUCUCUUUAGAAUUUUCAUUUUCACCUCAGAUAAAAUGUACACAAAAUACACUUGCAAGCUUGCUUACAGGGACCUGUUAAACAAUGAACAGACAAAUUCUAUCAAACAGUUUAUCAACAUAUAAAGGAGGAUAGUUUCAGGGUUUUAAAAAAAAUUAUUAAUGUGAGCAAACUGAUUAAAUAAGGCGGCAAAUUAAAAUUAUAUUUCCUUGACAAGUCCUUUGGAGUAAACAAAAUGCUUCAAGGCUCCUGGUGAAUGGGAUUGCAAGGAUGAAUUCUGCAUUUUAUAGGUAAAAUGAUAUACUGACUCAAAUAAUUAUGGCUAUACCACGCUUUACUUACAAUUUUUAUGCAUGAAAACAAGUCAAUUCUUUGGCAUAAUACAAGAAGGGAUAAAAGAACCCUUACCACCUUCUGGCUUUAUUUAGAGUGGGAAGUGGUAGUAGGGGAACUGUUUAUAAUGUAAUUUAUUUCUCUUAGAAAUGCAGGAAAAUAAUCUUGAAUAACAACUUUUUGGCAUGAUUAGGGCAAUAAACAUCUUAUUCUUAGCUCCCUUCCUCCCACCCCCACCCAUCCACUGAAAACAAAUCAACAAACAAAAAUAAGUGAAAUUACUCUUUCCCUCUAGGCACCUGCUCCUGCCCCUAUCAUGCCAUACCUGGAUAUCCUACCACAUGGUUUCAAUUGAAGUGAAACCAAAAAUAUCAAAAUCAUUAAUCUUUGUCCAGUUUUGCCUAUUUAGCAGGAAACCAAUUUUUAUUACAGAGGACCACUUCCAACAAAAUACAGAUGAAAGAACUGCCAAGGGAGGAAUACAAAGUAGCCUGCACAUGAUCAUGAGGUAGUCAUGGAUGACCACUGGUGGCUGGUAGUGUCAGGGCUUGAGAUUCCCUAACUUGAAAACAUAUUUUAUGUGGUAGCUCAAAAGAUUGGAUUUUAGAUUCCCCCCAUCCCUUUUUUGGCACCAAUUGGUAAAAUAAGUUGGAACUAAAAUUAUUCCCAGAGAUUAGUAUUUUAAAUUUAACUUGAAAAUCAAUUACUAUUAAAAGAGCUAAAAGCACACAUAAUUUCUAAAAUGGAUUAUGGAAAACAAAAGUGUAAUAAAACUCUUCAAUUAUUUCCAUCCACAGAGGCAAGAACUCUACUCUUUAGUACCAUUAACACUUUGAUAUGCUUUCUGAUCUCACUAAAUCUAGUAAAUACUGUAAUUAUCUUCUCAUACAAAAAUCUAAAUUAAUUUAAACAGUGUUAGAGUAUUCAAGCAGAAAGUUUUAAAGAAACUUAAAUCAAUAAGAAGUAUCUGUAAUUAAUAUAGUUUAUACUUGGAUGAUAAUUUAAAAGUUCUUAAUUUUUUUCUCUUGAACUAUUCCAUGAACCUUUUUUUAAUGCAAGAAAAGAAUUUCCAAGGCUAAUUAAUCAAAGAAAAUGUUAGGAAAUCAACUAAGGCCCCACCUACACUUGAGUUAACAUGAUUUCAUUGUAUUCCCAAAGCAUAUUGAUACAUGUGUACAUUUCUCCCAUAAUUGGAAAACGAGGAGUGUGGUCUCCACUGUGCAGAUAUGAACAGAAACACAUUUUCUGAAAAGUCCUUAAAACAGGCACAUGUACUGCUAAAAGGGAGUUAUUCAGUUUCCAAAUUUCCAUGAAACCACUUGGUAGACUCUUUACAGGUACACAGGAAAUGAAAAUAUUUACACCAGACAGUUAAAUGAAAGAUGAAGGUACAUCAAGUAGUGUAAUAUCAUUUUGACAUGUUGAUAUUUGGGUGACUAAUGAGAGAGAGAAACCUACUAGCAAGCAAGCAAUGACUCAAAAACCUCUGGAAGCCAGGAGCCAAGAUUGCAACAGAGUUGAGAUGGAAAUAUUAAAACUGUAUGACAGAAGAAACUCAAACACUGUGUAUUUAAAUUUAAAAUCACCUCAGUACAAGUCAAAGGGUCAACAUGAUACAAAUGAUCAUCCAUAGAACCAGUGUUUCUAAGUACAAAGACGAAAAGCUUACACAGAUCUCACUGUCCCAUUGAACUGAUACAUUCAUUGUCUUUGAGCUUGUAAAAAACCGAAUUGUUGGUAUAAUAAACCUAGAAACUGGGAAGGUUGAAUAGGAAUGCUGUAGAGAAUCCAAUCCCAAGUUGUCUGCCCCAGGUUGUUUGUUGUUUUCUCUAGAGCUUGAUAAGUCAGGCUGAUCUUAAAGGUAGUAGCUGGAAAUUUUUUCAAGGCAGUUCUCAGAGUAUGGUCCCCAGACCAGCAGCAUUGGCCUCACCUGGGUCCUUGUUAGGAAAGCAAAUUUCCAGACCUACUGAAUUGGAAACCCUGGGCAUGGGCCCAACAACCUGUGUUUUAACAAGCCCUCCAGGUGAUUCUCAUGUGUGCUAAAGUUUGAGAACCACUUUAGAACAAAGUCAAAAGAUACCACACAACCACUACUUAAACCUUCAGGAUAGGAACUAAUAGUACAAACAAUUCUUGGUGAUUGAAAGGCUGGAAGGACCAUAAGUGGAUGGGAUUCACCCGCAGUUGACUACGGUUUUGUCACGAAGAUGGUCAGCCAGUCUCUCCUCCCUGGAACUCUCAUGCAUUAUUGUACAAAGAUAGAGGGGACAGGUUUUGUAUGGUGCUAGUGGUGUGGCAUCGAGUUUUCUUCAAUUAGUAAGUGGUGCCAUCAUUUAUAUGGAAAUUGAGCAUUAUUCCCAACUGAGUUUCUCAUAGAUUAUCCCCGGGGAUAAUUUUUUUGGUCUGUUUUCCCUGAAGCAAUAAUUGUGUUUUGGAAAUCUAAAUGGUGUUCUAGUCCAACACUUUGUAUUAAACUAUUUGUUACUUCCACAUCAAAUACAAACAUUAUAAGCAGAGGAAGAGGAUCUCACAAGAGACAAUUUUCUAGAUUGCUCCACUAUGAGGAAGGAGAACACAAUUUUUCUUGAUGAAGCAUAAUUAUGAGUUCUAUACUAGUUUCAUAAAGCUUGCCCAAUAACAAGUUCAUAUUUCCAAUAAAAAGUGCUUAAAAAGAGUCUCUUGCUUUUUUAAGGCCACACUAAAUGUCACUAGGAUCACCUAAGUGGUACCCAUGCAUAUCCAAGUUUUGUUAUUCACUUAAUGAAACGUGUUGGACUUUUUUAAUGCCUGUCUCCGCAGAAUAUGCAGAAAUAUUUAGGCAUGUGGCACGUGGUUGCUAUGGAUAUUGACCUGAUGCCCUCAGUACCCGGAUCUUUAAACAAUCUUGUCUUACCCGU
RNAcentral lists this long non-coding RNA (3287 nucleotides) under Canis lupus familiaris (dog). RNAcentral describes it as "lncRNA (ENSCAFG00000055664.1, ENSCAFG00805003953.1)". The record is from RNAcentral. Lineage: Eukaryota; Metazoa; Chordata; Mammalia; Carnivora; Canidae.